UACGGGGGGGGGCAAGCGUUGUUCGGAAUUACUGGGCGUAAAGGGCUCGUAGGCGGCCAACUAAGUCAGACGUGAAAUCCCUCGGCUUAACCGGGGAACUGCGUCUGAUACUGGAUGGCUUGAAUCCGGGAGAGGGAUGCGGAAUUCCAGGUGUAGCGGUGAAAUGCGUAGAUAUCUGGAGGAACACCGGUGGCGAAGGCGACAUCCUGGACCGGUAUUGACGCUGAGUGAGCGAAAGCCAGGGGAGCAAACGGG
Molecule: ribosomal RNA, 255 nt
Filed under: uncultured bacterium
Lineage: Bacteria
Description: partial 16S ribosomal RNA
Rfam family: Bacterial small subunit ribosomal RNA
Source: RNAcentral